ACGAACGCUGGCGGCGUGCUUAACACAUGCACGUCAAACGGAAAGGCCCUGCUUUUGUGGGGUGCUCGAGUGGCGAACGGGUGAGUAACACGUGAGUAACCUGCCCUUGACUUUGGGAUAACUUCAGGAAACUGGGGCUAAUACCGGAUAGGAGCUCCUGCUGCAUGGUGGGGGUUGGAAAGUUUCGGCGGUUGGGGAUGGACUCGCGGCUUAUCAGCUUGUUGGUGGGGUAGUGGCUUACCAAGGCUUUGACGGGUAGCCGGCCUGAGAGGGUGACCGGCCACAUUGGGACUGGGAUACGGCCCAGACUCCUACGGGAGGCAGCAGUGGGGAAUAUUGCACAAUGGGCGGAAGCCUGAUGCAGCAACGCCGCGUGCGGGAUGACGGCCUUCGGGUUGUAAACCGCUUUCGCCUGUGACGAAGCGUGAGUGACGGUAAUGGGUAAAGAAGCACCGGCUAACUACGUG
Molecule: ribosomal RNA, 467 nt
Filed under: uncultured bacterium
Lineage: Bacteria
Description: partial 16S ribosomal RNA
Rfam family: Bacterial small subunit ribosomal RNA
Source: RNAcentral